CAUUAAUGAUUGUAGAUGAGAAAAGAUAAACCUGAAUCAUACACUAAUACGAAGAUAUACUAACAUAAAAAUUGAACAUACUAUGUUAAGGUUUCAUUUUCUAGACAAUUGUCUUUGUUAUUUCAACAUUUCCAUAGAAAAAAAAUAUAUAGAUUACGAUAUUCAGGACACUUGCAGUAGUAGGGUAGUGCAUUUAAUAAUUUUCUUAAAAAGAAGAAUUCAUAUUGCUUGUUGAUCGUAAACCCCUUUCAUCGUGUUGAGAAUGGUCGAUGCUUCAUUGGCUGUAGGGAAAUAUGAGACGUUGAUAAGGCUAAUAAAUUUUCCCAGUAUAUAAACUUGCUAAUUAACAUUCAAAAUAAAUUCAGAUUAGGGGCAUGUAAGAGAUGUACCAACUGGGAAUAGAUAUUUAGGAAAUUUUUGGGAGUGUCGAGGUGGGUUAGCGAAUUACUCAACUGGCCAUCGAGACGUUGAAGAGGACACAUGAGGCCAGACAGAUUGAUGAGUGUCCUAUACCAGAAGGGACAUCAAGGAGGAUGGGCCCACCAAGAUGGCAAGAAGGUAGCAUGCAUCUGGUUGAUGAGCCUCUAGCUUUAGCUCCAGUUCCAAAUCCACUUCCAACACACAAAUUUUUCGGUGCACCUUGGUUUUCCGCUCAGCCGAGUGAUCAGGAUGCUUACGCCCUAAUGCCUGAUGACAUAAAUUGGGAAGCUCUCGACAAAGCCUUAGAGGACCAGUUCCACGAGAUUUACAGGAAAGUAGAUGUCUGAGGAUUAUCAUCCACCUAACAUCCUGCUCGUGAGAUGGUUUUACACCUACACCAGUAUUCGUCGACACAUGUUAAUUAAUUUUAGUGUCCGAAUUAUCACCACGAUGGUUUGCAACUAAUAGCUUCUGCAUGACGCCCUCUCGAUUUCGAACCCAACCAGUGGUAUCAAAGUUUAUGGCUCAGUCAUGGGUUGAAGAAAUGGUGAAGGCGAUUUUAGUUAUCGAUGCAAGCACUUUGAUGAUAAAGACUAUUUUGUUUAGCUACAUGUGAAGAAGAAGUUUUAAACAUAUUUCAACAUUCAUGUUGCUGCAUCUUUAAAAAAUAAACAUAAAAUAUUUAUUUUUAACCCACUUUUAAUCAUAAUAUUUUAAAUCUUAUUUUUAACCAUGUCAAGCAGCAGUGAUGAAGAUUAUGUAAAGAACGAAGAUCAUGCACGUGAAGAAGGUGGAUCAAAUUAUGUCAAGAAAAUCAAGCCAAAAAAAGGGAGAUUUGUUAGGGUUUUUACCCUGAUUUUCUUGCCAAGUUUAAGCUUUACUUUUCUUGAAAGAAAAAUAAAAGAAAUACCAUAAUUACUUUUAUUUUAAUUUUUCUGAAAUAAAAAUAUAAAAAAGUUUCAUAUUUGGCAAACCUCUUUUUUGGAGAAAUGGUUUUGGAACUCUAUAACUAGAAGACACACUUCUCAUACCAUAACACAAUAGUAUCCUCAAUGUAGUCCUUUAUGAGUCUUGUUUAGAGAGAGAUUUUCUCCUAAUAGUCUUUUUUUAUACUUUUGUAUAUUAAUUUUCAAUAUGUAGGUUGCUUGACCAAAUCAUAUCAAUAAUAGAUUUUUAGUAUGUUUU
Long non-coding RNA from Capsicum annuum, 1605 nucleotides. RefSeq lists it as uncharacterized. The transcript has 3 exons. The record is from RefSeq and is a predicted model, not a curated record. NCBI's taxonomy places the organism in Eukaryota, Viridiplantae, Streptophyta, Magnoliopsida, Solanales, Solanaceae.